GUGAAAAGUUAAGAAAAGAUUUGAUUUUGUGAACUGGGUGGUUGUUAGUUAUGGUAGAGGAUGAGAAUCUGGAAUCCUCUUGUGGUGAGGAGGCUUUGGAGGAAGAUGAACCCAGACAAGGAGGGUUCUGUGACUUUUUUUCUACUCCAAUUUAUUGGUUCAAAAUGCUUGCCAGUGAGACACAUUCGAGUUUUGUGUUUGGUGUGUUGACUGUCUAUGGAAUAAGCCAGGGACUGGGAGGAGCUUUUAGUCGCGUUGGCACUGAGUAUUACAUGAAAGAUGUUCANNNNNACAAAUUUAUCAAGGAAUUAUUUCAAUUCCUUGGCUUGUCAAGCCUCUAUGGCGCCUGCUG
Molecule: unclassified non-coding RNA, 352 nt
Filed under: Hevea brasiliensis (rubber tree)
Lineage: Eukaryota; Viridiplantae; Streptophyta; Magnoliopsida; Malpighiales; Euphorbiaceae
Source: RNAcentral